This 75-nucleotide transfer RNA is filed under the name Candidatus Iainarchaeum sp. RNAcentral's name for it is "tRNA-Arg". It matches the Rfam family "tRNA". From Rfam's summary of the family: Transfer RNA (tRNA) molecules are approximately 80 nucleotides in length. Their secondary structure includes four short double-helical elements and three loops (D, anti-codon, and T loops). Further hydrogen bonds mediate the characteristic L-shaped molecular structure. tRNAs have two regions of fundamental functional importance: the anti-codon, which is responsible for specific mRNA codon recognition, and the 3' end, to which the tRNAs corresponding amino acid is attached (by aminoacyl-tRNA synthetases). tRNAs cope with the degeneracy of the genetic code in two manners: having more than one tRNA (with a specific anti-codon) for a particular amino acid; and 'wobble' base-pairing, i.e. permitting non-standard base-pairing at the 3rd anti-codon position. Lineage: Archaea; Nanobdellati; Candidatus Iainarchaeota; Candidatus Iainarchaeia; Candidatus Iainarchaeales; Candidatus Iainarchaeaceae. The record is from RNAcentral.
GGGCCCGUGGCCUAGUUGGAUCAGGGCAUUCGGCUUCGGACCGAAAAGUCGGGGGUUCGAGUCCCUCCGGGCCCG